This 505-nucleotide ribosomal RNA is filed under the name uncultured bacterium. RNAcentral's name for it is "bacterial SSU rRNA". It matches the Rfam family "Bacterial small subunit ribosomal RNA", at positions 26 to 518 of the family's 1533-position model. The record is from RNAcentral.
GCUAGAACGAACGCUGGCGGCGCGUUUAAGCAUGCAAGUCGAGCGGCAAGGGCCUUCGGGCCCCUAGAGCGGCGGACGGGUGAGUAACACGUGGACAAUCUGCCCCCCGGCCCGGGAUAGCCCAGGGAAACCUGGAUUAAUACCAGAUGAGACGGGACCCGCGAUGGCGGGAUCCGGGAAAGGCGCUGCGGCGCCGCCGGGGGAUGAGUCUGCGUCCCAUUAGCUAGACGGCGGGGUAACGGCCCACCGUGGCGACGAUGGGUAGCCGGCCUGAGAGGGUGGACGGCCACAUUGGAACUGAGACACGGUCCAGACUCCUACGGGAGGCAGCAGCUAAGAAUCUUCCGCAAUGGGCGAAAGCCUGACGGAGCGACGCCCGCGUGAACGAAGAAGGCCGUGAGGUUGUAAAGUUCUUUUCGGGAGGGGGAACAACCGUGGCAGGGAAUGGCCGCGGGAUGACGUGAAUCCCGGAAUAAGCCCCGGCUAACUACGUGCCAGCAGCGGC